AAGGAGCAGCUGAUCUGAGCAGUCAACCAGAUGUUUUAUAAUAAAAAUAGCAAUAUAAGUAGUGUAUAUCAAAUAAGUUUUUGAUGUUCAUUAAUGGCUAGAUGGAUUUGAAGGACUAUGAAUUGUGUACUGGGUCCAAUGUGGCCUCGAAUCUUCCUUUCUUUUCCCUUUAGCAGUUUAUCAAUGGCAUUGAGGUGAUUAGCCAGAUAGGCAUUGGAUGAGUUGACAGGGGUUUUCCUUCUAUAUCCGAUUGGUGAUAAUUGGAUCAUACAUGCAUUAUAUUGUAGAUAUGUUUAUAGUGGUUCAUUAGUAAUCUUUUCUUAAUUGCAUUUUAUUACAUCUGAUGUUCUAUUCACUCAUCAAUUAAAUGCAGACAAAAAGACUGAAAGAUUCCAUAUCACAAAUUUAUUCUAAACUUGAGGAAAUAAAGGUAUCCGCAAAGUCAGACCUGCGGCACCAGGUUUCCCUUGUUGUCCAUCCUAUGCAGCAGG
Non-coding RNA from Cajanus cajan (pigeon pea), 491 nucleotides. NCBI's taxonomy places the organism in Eukaryota, Viridiplantae, Streptophyta, Magnoliopsida, Fabales, Fabaceae. The record is from RefSeq and is a predicted model, not a curated record.